AACGACUCUCGGCAACGGAUAUCUCGGCUCACGCAUCGAUGAAGAACGCAGCAAAAUGCGAUACUUGGUGUGAAUUGCAGAAUCCCGUGAACCAUCGAGUUUUUGAACGCAAGUUGCGCCCGAAGCCAUCCGGUCGAGGGCACGUCUGCCUGGGCGUCACGC
Molecule: ribosomal RNA, 162 nt
Filed under: Ainsliaea latifolia
Lineage: Eukaryota; Viridiplantae; Streptophyta; Magnoliopsida; Asterales; Asteraceae
Also listed under: 1 other name
Description: 5.8S ribosomal RNA
Rfam family: 5.8S ribosomal RNA
About the family: 5.8S ribosomal RNA (5.8S rRNA) is a component of the large subunit of the eukaryotic ribosome.
Source: RNAcentral